AAAAAAAAAAAAAAGAACAAGAAAUUACAACAUGAAGCAUAGUGUAAGUUCUUAAAAGCAUUUAUAGGAACAUACAAAAAUUCAUGUCAGCGCAAACACAUAAAAUACAUCUGACAAAUAAUAAUAAGUUAGCUCUACAGGAUAGCUUUUACCAAAGAGAUUGUCAUAGACAUAAAUGAUAAAAGUUUUAAGUUACAAGCAAUAGUGCUUCCCAAGUUGCAAAGAUUUUCUUGUGAAAGUCCAUUUGGAGCAAUAUUCUGAAGGCAGCUUAUUCCAUUCUCAUCAUUUUAUGAUUGUAUAACAACCACAAGAAUAUGCAUCAAACAAAUUAAUUUUCGUUCCCACCAAUUCAAAUGUAAUCAUAAUUAAUAAUUGACUUUACUCUGAAUCAGGUAAUGAAGAUUUUGAUGAGCAUGUCCACAAAAAUCAAUUCAAAUAACCCCUUAAAAAUGGGUCUGGUUCUGGAAAUUUUUAAAAUUCCAUCCAUAUUCAGAAUUUGUCAAGGCACAAAAGCUAAAGAAAUCCAAGGCUCUAGUGUCAAGCUCAGCCAGAUUACUCUAACUGCAACCAUCUCUUGGACUCUUGGCAAGCUACUGAUUGCCAAUUCUCUUUCCCAACAAUGGAGAUAGCUUAAAAAUAUUUUACAUUACAAAGUAGCUAGUUAAUAAUGUUUCAUUUUCUAAUGCUGACUGCCAGUUCAAACAUUACCUAAGGGCUGGAUGCCAAUAUAGAACUUCCCAACAAAGAGCGCAGAUAUUCAUUUCCUCCAAAUCAAUAUUUUGGAAAUAGAUUUAUAAUUCACAAUUAUCUCUACAUUUUACAUGAUUUGCAUCAAAAAAAUGUCCCAUUGUGAGAAAUAAAUGUCAACAAAAUCAAAGAAACAGCCUUUCAGGAACGCAAAUUAGCAGAAUAGUUCAAUCUUACAUAGAAUUCCAUCAUCAAUACCACACUGCAGACUUAGGUCAAAUCCCUCUUAAGUCAAUAAGAAAACACGUUCUGGCAAGGAACAUUAAUAUGUCCAAAAUAUUCAGUUCUUCUAAACACGCCUCUUACAAACACGGAUUUAAGAUCAACAUUACAUUGAAUCCUUCUACAAAAAUUUAAUUACCAGUAAAUCAAUGCCCAGAUUCCUCACCAUUUUAGAAGUUGGGAAACAGAGUUUAUUCAAUGUAAGCAAAAAAUUUUUUAAAAUGGCAAAAUGCUUUUGAGCAAGAAUAGCCCAGCAGAAAACACAAGAAUUCCACAAGUAAUAUCCUAUAGAGUUCCAAAGAUAUAUAAAUAAAGGGUGAAAGAAUACACUACUCAGCUAACAUUAAGUCAAAACAGCGAACGUAAAAUGAUAACAGCCUACAGCGUGUAACAGAUAUUCUACCCAAAUAACGGCCAAUCUACCGGUUAUAUCACUUUGUUUAAACCAAGAAACAGUGCAAAUUAAAGGAUUAGCAUCUAAAAAAACGUUGGAAUCAAAUGACAGAAACGCAAAAGUUAAAUUUGAAAAUAAAAAUAAAAGAAACUAAAAAGCCAGUAAGGUAUACCGUAAGAAGCAGAGUGCCAGCCAUAAUAAUCUCAUUCUUGGUCAUUGGCCCCAUCUUCUCCAACCUCUCCCUAGCCAACUUAGGCGCAUCUGGGCUGCUCUUCACCGUGGGCGGAUAAAUUAUAUACAAAAGCAAAGGCACAACAAGCAAAGACACCAAUCCAGGCACAAUCGCCGCCUUAGCCCAGUCAGUCCACCCAAUCGUCUGCUUAAUCGUAUUGAAUGUCAAAUUGGCACUCAAAGGAUUAGCUGCCAUGGCAGUCAAGAACAUGGAAGAAGAAAUCGCUGAUGUUUGGAAACAAGUUAACAUUAACCACGAGCCAAGCUUAUUCUCUGUACCAUCACCAGCAUUGCUACCACAAGCAACACACAGAGAUUUCACCAACGGUAAAAAGAUCCCUCCUGCUCUAGCAGAAACUGAAGGAAUUGCAGGCGCUAGUAAAGCUUCACUAAACACGAGACUGUAACCUAAACCCAACGAAGAAGAUCCAAAAAGCGAUACAAAUUGAUAAGCUAUUCUGUUUCCAAGUCCAGUCUUAAUAAAUCCUCGAGCGAAAAAGAAAGCAAGAGCAAUUAACCAAGGGAUUGGAUCGCCGAAAGCUGAAAAUGCAGCGGAGAAAGUUAAGGUUUUGGUGAGUACUGAAGCACCUAAACCCAUCAAGGCUACGGCGCCGAGAGGUAAAGGUUGCGUGAUAAUGCCGACAAUAGUGGCAAGAAAAAUGGCGAGUAGUUGCCAAGCAGGCUUCGAGACUCCAGAAGGAACGGGAACGAACCACAGAAUAACACCUGUGGCUAUUGACGCAAGUAAUGGCUUGAUAGCAGCGCCCUGCCAUGGCUGUGAGGAAGAAACAGAAGAGGCAGGUGAUGCUGCUGCGGCGGCGGAUGCUUUGACCGUUAAGUUCAAAAUUCUCCAUUUCUGAAAGAUUGCGGUGGCGGUGGCUGCAUUGGAUUUGGAGAAUUUUGGAAGGAAAUAAUUGGAGGGAGGAAAUCUGGUAUUAGCAGUGAGUUUAGGGAGGGAAGGAACGCGAUUUGGAGUGGAUCUGAGGUGGGAGAGAGAGCGAGACUUGUGAGAAGGGAGAGAAUUGAAGGCAAGAGAGCAAGAAGAAGAGGAUGUGAGAGCUAGGGACGCCAUUUUGGUUGUCUGCUCUCAGUUUCAGCGUUUCUGCUGAGAAUGCAUGAAAAUAGAAGGAAGGAACGGAAAGUGGGAAGGAGGGCGCGGUGGGUGGGUUCUUACAUGGGAAAUGGAGAGGAGUUGAUUUGGACCGUUGGAUUUGGAUCGGAGGGUGAAUAUGUGUGUGUG
This 2834-nucleotide unclassified non-coding RNA is filed under the name Hevea brasiliensis (rubber tree). The record is from RNAcentral. Lineage: Eukaryota; Viridiplantae; Streptophyta; Magnoliopsida; Malpighiales; Euphorbiaceae.